Molecule: transfer RNA, 71 nt
Filed under: Capillaster sp. DH-Y2
Lineage: Eukaryota; Metazoa; Echinodermata; Crinoidea; Comatulida; Comatulidae
Description: tRNA-Thr
Rfam family: tRNA
About the family: Transfer RNA (tRNA) molecules are approximately 80 nucleotides in length. Their secondary structure includes four short double-helical elements and three loops (D, anti-codon, and T loops).
Source: RNAcentral
GCUUUAUAAGUUUUAGAUAAACAACUAAUCUUGUAAAUUGGAAAAAUAAGGUUAAAUUCCUUAAUAAAGCU